RNAcentral lists this ribosomal RNA (460 nucleotides) under uncultured bacterium. RNAcentral's name for it is "partial 16S ribosomal RNA". It matches the Rfam family "Bacterial small subunit ribosomal RNA", at positions 338 to 795 of the family's 1533-position model. The record is from RNAcentral.
CCUACGGGUGGCAGCAGUGAGGAAUAUUGGUCAAUGGGCGCGAGCCUGAACCAGCCAAGUAGCGUGAAGGAUGACUGCCCUACGGGUUGUAAACCUCUUUUAUCAAGGAAUAACGUGAGGCCCUUUUGCCUUUUUGUAUGUACUUUAUGAAAAAGGAUCGGCUAACUCCGUGCCAGCAGCCGCGGUAAUACGGAGGAUCCGAGCGUUAUCCGGAUUUAUUGGGUUUAAAGGGCGCGUAGGCGGGUUGUUAAGUCAGUUGUGAAAGUUGGGGGCUCAACCGUAAAAUUGCAAUUGAUACUGGCAGUCUUGAGUACAGUAGAGGUAGGCGGAAUGCGUGGUGUAGCGGUGAAAUGCUUAGAUAUCACGAAGAACUCCGAUUGCGAAGGCAGCUUACUAAACCGCCACUGACAUUGAGGCUCGAAAGUGUGGGGAUCAAACAGGAUUAGAUACCCGAGUAGUC